This 253-nucleotide unclassified non-coding RNA is filed under the name uncultured Verrucomicrobiota bacterium. Its description in RNAcentral is "uncultured Verrucomicrobia bacterium contains 16S-23S intergenic spacer region". It matches the Rfam family "Bacterial small subunit ribosomal RNA", at positions 524 to 776 of the family's 1533-position model. The record is from RNAcentral. Lineage: Bacteria; Pseudomonadati; Verrucomicrobiota.
UACAGAGACUCCAAGCGUUAUUCGGAUUCACUGGGCGUAAAGGGUGCGCAGGCGGCCGCAUGUGUCAGGUGUGAAAGCUCCGGGCUUAACCCGGAAAUUGCGCGUGAAACUAUGCGGCUGGAGUUUUGGAGAGGGAAGCGGAAUUCUCGGUGUAGCGGUGAAAUGCGUAGAUAUCGAGAGGAACACCAAAGGCGAAGGCAGCUUCCUGGACAACAACUGACGCUCAGGCACGAAAGCGUGGGUAGCGAACGGG